RNAcentral lists this ribosomal RNA (436 nucleotides) under uncultured Clostridium sp. RNAcentral's name for it is "partial 16S ribosomal RNA". It matches the Rfam family "Bacterial small subunit ribosomal RNA", at positions 341 to 792 of the family's 1533-position model. Lineage: Bacteria; Bacillati; Bacillota; Clostridia; Eubacteriales; Clostridiaceae. The record is from RNAcentral.
ACGGAAGGCAGCAGUGGGGAAUAUUGGGCAAUGGGCGCAAGCCUGACCCAGCAACGCCGCGUGAAGGAAGAAGGCUUUCGGGUUGUAAACUUCUUUUAAGGGGGAAGAGUAGAAGACGGUACCCCUCGAAUAAGCCACGGCUAACUACGUGCCAGCAGCCGCGGUAAUACGUAGGUGGCGAGCGUUGUCCGGAUUUACUGGGUGUAAAGGGCGUGUAGCCGGGGGAGCAAGUCAGAUGUGAAAUCUAUGGGCUUAACCCAUAAACUGCAUUUGAAACUGUUCUUCUUGAGUGCUGGAGGGGCAAGCGGAAUUCCUAGUGUAGCGGUGAAAUGCGUAGAUAUUAGGAGGAACACCAGUGGCGAAGGCGGCUUGCUGGACGAUAACUGACGCUGAGGCGCGAAAGCGUGGGGAGCAAACAGGAUUAGAUACCCUGGUA